RNAcentral lists this ribosomal RNA (466 nucleotides) under uncultured bacterium. RNAcentral describes it as "partial 16S ribosomal RNA". It matches the Rfam family "Bacterial small subunit ribosomal RNA", at positions 339 to 795 of the family's 1533-position model. The record is from RNAcentral.
CUACGGGAGGCUGCAGUGGGGAAUAUUGGACAAUGGGGGAAACCCUGAUCCAGCAAUGCCGCGUGUGUGAAGAAGGCCUGCGGGUUGUAAAGCACUUUCGGUUGGGAGGACUGCUUCUAGCACUAAUAUUGUUGGAAGUUGACGUUACCUUCAGAAGAAGCACCGGCUAACUCCGUGCCAGCAGGCCGCGGUAAUACGGAGGGUGCAAGCGUUAAUCGGAAUUACUGGGCGUAAAGCGCGCGUAGGCGGCUAGAUCAGUCGGGUGUGAAAGCCCCGGGCUUAACCUGGGAACUGCAUCCGAUACUGUCUAGCUUGAGUACAGAAGAGGAGAGUGGAAUUCCACAUGUAGCGGUGAAAUGCGUAGAUAUGUGGAGGAACACCAAUGGCGAAGGCAGCUCUCUGGCCUGAUACUGACGCUGAGGUGCGAAAGCGUGGGGAGCAAACAGGAUUAGAUACCCCGGUAGUC